AAACACGUGCCAGCAGCCGCGGCAACACGGGAUUAGACGAGUGUUAUUCAUCUUUAAUAGGUUUAAAGGGUACCUAGACAGCAAAUUUAGCCCCCACUGGGUUGGGAUGGGACAUUUUUGCUAGAGUUUUAUGUGAGAGGGAUUUAGUACUAUCAGAGUAGAGAUGAAAUUUUUUGAUACUGUAGGGCACUGAUAACGGCGAAGGCAUACCUUUAUGUAAAAACUGACGUUGAGGGACGAAGGCUUGGGUAGCAAACAGGAUUAGAUACCCUAAUAGUCCAUGCAGAGAAUAAUGAGUGCCAUAGAUUAGAUAGUUUUUGAUCUAUAAAUGAAAGUGAAAGCAUUCCACCUUAAGAGUAAUUCGGCAACGUUGGAACUGAAAUCAUUAGACCGUUUCUGAUACCAGUAGUGAAGUAUGUUGUUUAAUUCGAUGAUACACGAUAAAUCUUACCACUAACUUUAAAUUUGAAUAUACUAGCAGCUAUAGGAAAGUCUUUUAAUUUGAAUAUUAAUAAGAUGUAAAUGCUAUUUAUACAGGUGUUGCAUGGCUGUUUUUAGUUGGUGUCGUGAGAUGUAGGUUAACUUCUAUGUAAUCAACGUGAACCCACACUCUAUUUUAUUUUUUCUACACAUAGAGUUUAUGUCUGAUUCGUCGGACAAAUUGUA
This 666-nucleotide ribosomal RNA is filed under the name Arthonia rubrocincta. RNAcentral describes it as "SSU rRNA". It matches the Rfam family "Bacterial small subunit ribosomal RNA", at positions 499 to 1175 of the family's 1533-position model. Lineage: Eukaryota; Fungi; Ascomycota; Arthoniomycetes; Arthoniales; Arthoniaceae. The record is from RNAcentral.